Molecule: non-coding RNA, 108 nt
Filed under: Alexandrium fundyense
Lineage: Eukaryota; Dinophyceae; Gonyaulacales; Pyrocystaceae
Source: RNAcentral
GGCCGUGGAGGGCCCUCGCCCAGCGAAGUUCCGCAGUCGCCUGGCAACCUCGCCGGAGCGGCCGCCGUGCUGGGUGCGGCUGCGGCGCUGGGGGCCGCCGCAGGCUGG